UAUUGCAACAAACUGAAAACGUUUUUUUGAUGUCAUUUAGGAAAUUACAUAGUGAUAGAGCUUAGGGUCAAGAACUAGCACAAGUAGGAAGUGCUUGCUUCAAUUUAGUCUAUAGAGUGUUUACAAGUUAAACUGGUCAUGUUUUACGUGAUUGUUUGCAAUCUUUUAUUUGUCUGAAUAUUUGGAGUGGAUCUUCUAAGUCUUAGGAAGUAUUACUGUGCAUACGACAAGCGAUGAACACUUUCUUUUAGAGUAGAGCAUACUACUGUUUGACAGAAAAGUGUCUACAAGCGACUAGGUCUGGGCUUUCCAGCGAAGGCCGCACCCAAGGUAUUUGAAAGAUUCUGAAUUGAGAAAAGAAAAGGAAAAGAGAUUCUUCGCUGCUUCUAGUGCAACUUACCACCCUCUAGGUUCAAAUUUUCGACAAUGAUAUGAUGCUUUGUACAAGUCGAAAGGUUGAAGGGAUGUCAAGCAUAUAUCUGGCCAUUGUUUCCUAGGACAAGAGAGACCUCACGAUCCACUUUCCAAUAUUUUCAUCAUUCUAGCCUUCUCCCAUCCCGAUGGUGUGGCUCUAUAGCACAACAGUCAUGAAAAUUAAAUGACGGCUGUCAAUUAACCAGACCCCAAAAAAGUCGUUAUUUAUAUCUUAGGGUGGCAACUUUAGCCAAUAGAGCCAUGGAUUGGGUGGCUGCUUAUGCAGUCAGCCAUUCCGGUGGUACUCUGUGGACCAGCGAGGAAGAGCUGCCUAGCGCACUUCGUGCUAUUUUGUUUUCUGACUUCAUUGGGUGUGUUCGUAUCCGUGUGGUAUGUCUUACCCGCUUAAGCAAGCAAAAAAAAAGAAAGAAUUAGCACCAAAUCCUAAAAUGAUAAUUCUAGGACAUGAAGUUCAUGGCUGCAAUUUAAGCUCAUGCAAGAAAGAAGCAAUCCUUCGUCUCUUAGAUGGAGAAACAUUGAGAUAAGAUCACAUUUUUUUGGUGUAGAAAACUGCAACAACACAGACAGACAGACAGACACACAGAGAGAGAGAGAGAGAGAGAGAGAGAGAGAGAGAG
Molecule: long non-coding RNA, 1052 nt
Filed under: Phoenix dactylifera (date palm)
Lineage: Eukaryota; Viridiplantae; Streptophyta; Magnoliopsida; Arecales; Arecaceae
Description: long non-coding RNA (PDAC_LNC016205)
Source: RNAcentral